UGAUUCUCUGUGUAAGCGAAA
RNAcentral lists this microRNA (21 nucleotides) under Arabidopsis thaliana (thale cress). Its description in RNAcentral is "ath-miR173-3p". Its record names the gene ath-miR173-3p. The record is from miRBase by way of RNAcentral. Lineage: Eukaryota; Viridiplantae; Streptophyta; Magnoliopsida; Brassicales; Brassicaceae.